CCUACGGGCGGCAGCAGUGAGGAAUAUUGGUCAAUGGACGAGAGUCUGAACCAGCCAAGUAGCGUGAAGGAUGACUGCCCUAUGGGUUGUAAACUUCUUUUAUAAAGGAAUAAAACGAGGCACGUGUGCCUUUUUGUAUGUACUUUAUGAAUAAGGAUCGGCUAACUCCGUGCCAGCAGCCGCGGUAAUACGGAGGAUCCGAGCGUUAUCCGGAUUUAUUGGGUUUAAAGGGAGCGUAGAUGGGUUGUUAAGUCAGUUGUGAAAGUUUGCGGCUCAACCGUAAAAUUGCAAUUGAUACUGGCAGUCUUGAGUACAGUUGAGGUAGGCGGAAUUCGUGGUGUAGCGGUGAAAUGCUUAGAUAUCACGAAGAACCCCGAUUGCGAAGGCAGCUUACUAAGCUGUGACUGACAUUGAUGCUCGAAAGUGUGGGUAUCAAACAGGAUUAGAUACCCUAGUAGUC
RNAcentral lists this ribosomal RNA (460 nucleotides) under uncultured bacterium. RNAcentral describes it as "partial 16S ribosomal RNA". It matches the Rfam family "Bacterial small subunit ribosomal RNA", at positions 338 to 795 of the family's 1533-position model. The record is from RNAcentral.